Molecule: long non-coding RNA, 2969 nt
Organism: Camelus dromedarius (Arabian camel)
Lineage: Eukaryota; Metazoa; Chordata; Mammalia; Artiodactyla; Camelidae
Exons: 2
Source: RefSeq, a predicted model, not a curated record
GAAGGGACCGCCUCCAGGUCAGCGUGGAGGAAGGAACAAGCCCUCAUGGACGUCACCGCCCCUGUGCAGCCCUGAGCCGGACGUGCUGGAGCCGCAGAGCAGAGAGAGGUCAAACAACCUGCCUGAGGUUACACAGCGGGAAAGAGGGGGUCCCAGGAGACGAAGCUGGUUCUGCCAGACACAGAGCCCCUCUGAUUAGUCUCCUGAAAGGACUUUCGGAACAGAUGCGGCCUUGGAAUCGAGGGUCAUCAGCCAAAGAUGACUCCUCAGGGGCUGGAGGAAGAUGCCGUCAUUCUAUCCCCCACCCAGAGAACGUUUCUCCUCCUCUCGGGCUUGCGGUGGCCUGAAGUUCCAAACAGAAUCACCAGCUCCAAAAGGUCCAGCACGCUGCCCCAGGACACCCCAGCUUGUGAGCAAAACAAGAGUCUACAUAAAACGUUGUUUUAUUCCUUUGCUCUGAAACCAACAAAGAAACACUUGGCAGCCCCGGCUUGCUCCUCUGUGAAGUGAGAACUUUGGAACUGAGAGGACUCCAUGCAGAGGCUGAGCGCUCGCUCAAACAGCCUGGACACUUGGAGACACCCCAAGGCUCAGGCAAACUUCGUGGACUUGCUGUGUGACUUUGGCAAGUCGAGCCCCCUCUCUGAAUCCAGUUGCCUUGUCUCUGGAGAGAGAAGACCAGGGAGGGCCUGGGGGGGUCCUCCAGGUGACAGCCUCUCGGAGUCAGGGCCCUAAGAAGGCUGUGCCUCUGACAAGGUUCCCCUGACCACUCCUGCUCUGUGACUUACAGGAAGAGAUCCAUUGCUCCUCCUCCCAAAGCAGGCUCUGCUCUGAGAAGGCAGGUGGGGUCUGCCCCCUGCGGGGUGGGUCACGGGCCGCAGCCAGUCCUGGAGCAGGACCUCUGACCAUCUUCCAACGGGUACAGCGACUUGUCCCCAUUAGGGGCCUUCCCCUGUCUGCCUGUCAGCCUCACUCAGUGUCCACAUCACCUCAGCCACACGGACCUCCUUUGAGAUUCAGACACAUCCUUUCUCUGCUCAGAGUCCUCUCCUGGUGACACAAAGACGCAGAGCCCGAGCCCUGGCCUCAUUCUCUGCUUGGACAGCGACUCCCUGUGCAGCCUGGAGCGAGUUCCACUUCACUGUCUGCCCCUCAGGGGUGGAGGCGGCUGCAGCAAGGACCCUUCUAUCUGAAUUAUUUUAAUGAAUCAGAUUGUUUGGUUUUUUGAUAUUGAGUUGCAGAUCAUUUGUUUCUUGUAUUCACUAAUGGGGUGGCAUUAUCCCCAUUUUACAGAUGACGAAAAUGGAGGAUUACAGAACUGAACUAUUAUGUGCCGACUCUGUGUCAGGGAAGAAUGAUUAAUUCAACAGCCAGAUCAUCUCUUCAGCCAGGAAACGCCUACAGGUGGCCAAACACUUUGAGUGUCAGCCUCGAUACCUCUCUUGUUUAUGUAGUUGAAUAAGACAAAGUCCUUGAUUUAUGGUCCAGUGGAAAGAUACCGACAGAUAUAUGAAUAACCAUUAUCAGCAGAGUGGUGAUCAGGUACCUUGGAGAGGUUCAAAGUUGGACAGAAGACCUGGGAAGGGAAGAUUUCCUUUGUGUAGCUUCCAUUCUAUCCUAUUUCUACAAGAAGGACAUGAAACUACAGGAAGUGAUGUGGCAGACCCCCAGCCACGAGCGACAGGCUGGGUUCCAAUAUGAAACCUGUUGGCUUCAGAAUAUCUAAUUUCUAUAGAUUUCGACCACUAGUGUUACCUUAUAUUUUGCCACUGAAUUGCACUGCAUUUUGUAAGAACAAGCUUUAUUUGCUGUGAGCUCACUUUGGGACGACCGAGUCAGACAGGCAUCCUUGGGAUGUCAGGAGGGGCAUGGCUCCUGAAGUGUAUGUUUCAGCCUGUUUUCUUAAAUGUUGUCUCUGUGAGGUGGGGGGAGGGAGGGAGAGAGAGAGGCUCUUAUGGAAAUGUAACUGCUUGAGAACAAAAAACCUUUCCAGGAAAAAUAAAUCAGCGUUUAUAGAGGAAAUGAUUUCUUCCAUUGGCUGAGGACAGGCUGCGCACUUACUUAGCCAGUUUCUUCUCCCAAAUGAAUCCUCAGCCCCACCCAAGUGCUCUCCUCUCCCGGCUCCAAACAUUCCUGCCUGUGCCCCUGUGGGCAUGUGAGUGCUGUGGGCUUUCAAGUCGCCCCAAAGCUGAGUUUGUCAGAGGAUGAGCCACACUGCUCUGACGCAUCCUCCCAGCCCUGGAGAGUGACCAAACCCAGGUCAGGACCAUGUCUGUUCCUUUUUGUCUCCUCAAAGCCACAGGCAUUUCCUAACCGACAGUACAAGCUCCAUACUUGAGAAAUAUCCGAGCGUCAAGAGCCCCAAGCAGAUGACCUUGAACUCCUUUCUCUUACCUGUUCUUUGAGGAAGUGGACCAGUUCUCCAGGAGUCAAAACUGAGAGCAGUAAGUAGACGCUUCAUGAAAUCAGAUGCGACCACUAUGUAAGAAAGAAUAUUCAAGACUCUCCAAAGAUCAAAGGAAAGGUAGUGAGCUCCCUGCCACCAGAUAUGUUCAAGCGGAGAUUGGCAGAGCACUACUUCUGUAAAGAUUAUUUGGCUGUUCCUUCACUAAAUAUUGCCUGAUACCAAACACUGCACGAAUAGGAGUGUGGACUUUGGGUUCUAAGUGAGAGGAUUCUAGAGGCAUGCUUGCCACUGUCUUUCUUCGUUAUAUUUGGCACAUCAUUUUUAAAGACCUCUCUUGCCUCACCUGUAAAAGGCAGGAGGGUGGGGAGGUUUAAAAAGAACAGGAACUAGUCAGCCCACUGUGGCAAUCUGUGCUGGGCUCUGAAAGCCUGGUGGUGAGGGUAUUUAUACCAGGUGGCUAUUGCAACAAGGUUUAUAUUGUUGAAAAACAACUAGAAACCUCCUUAGGAUAGCAACAGGAAAAUUGUUAAAUAAAUAAUGACGGAUGCCUACUAUAAUGUAA